This 238-nucleotide ribosomal RNA is filed under the name uncultured bacterium. RNAcentral's name for it is "partial 16S ribosomal RNA". It matches the Rfam family "Bacterial small subunit ribosomal RNA", at positions 118 to 353 of the family's 1533-position model. The record is from RNAcentral.
UGAGGAACAUGACUUUCGGCGGGGGAUAGCCGGCCCAACGGCCGGGUAAUACCGCGUACGACCUUUUGGGGACAUCCCCGAUUGGUGAAAGCAGCAAUGCGCCGAAAGAGUGCCUCGCGGCCUAUCAGCUAGUUGGUGGGGUAAUGGCUCACCAAGGCGAUGACGGGUAGCUGGUCUGAGAGGAUGGCCAGCCACAUUGGGACUGAGACACGGCCCAGACUCCGUACGGGAGGNAGCG